This 274-nucleotide ribosomal RNA is filed under the name uncultured bacterium. Its description in RNAcentral is "partial 16S ribosomal RNA". It matches the Rfam family "Archaeal small subunit ribosomal RNA", at positions 473 to 747 of the family's 1478-position model. The record is from RNAcentral.
AAACCAGCACCUCAAGUGGUCAGGAUGAUUAUUGGGCCUAAAGCAUCCGUAGCCUGCUUUGUAAGUUUUCGGUUAAAUCCAUACGCUCAACGUAUGGGCUGCCGGAAAUACUGCAAAGCUAGGGAGUGGGAGAGGUAGACGGUACUCGGUAGGAAGGGGUAAAAUCCUUUGAUCUAUCGAUGACCACCUGUGGCGAAGGCGGUCUACCAGAACACGUCCGACGGUGAGGGAUGAAAGCUGGGGGAGCAAACCGGAUUAGAAACCCUGGUAGUCC